CCGUACCGCAAACCGACACAGGUAGUCAAGAUGAGAAUUCUAAGGUGAGCGAGCGAACUCUCGUUAAGGAACUCGGCAAAAUGACCCCGUAACUUCGGGAGAAGGGGUGCUCUUUAGGGUUAACGCCCAGAAGAGCCGCAGUGAAUAGGCCCAAGCGACUGUUUAUCAAAAACACAGGUCUCUGCUAAACCGUAAGGUGAUGUAUAGGGGCUGACGCCUGCCCGGUGCUGGAAGGUUAAGAGGAGUGGUUAGCUUCUGCGAAGCUACGAAUCGAAGCCCCAGUAAACGGCGGCCGUAACUAUAACGGUCCUAAGGUAGCGAAAUUCCUUGUCGGGUAAGUUCCGACCCGCACGAAAGGCGUAACGAUUUGGGCACUGUCUCAACGAGAGACUCGGUGAAAUCAUAGUACCUGUGAAGAUGCAGGUUACCCGCGACAGGACGGAAAGACCCCGUGGAGCUUUACUGUAGCCUGAUAUUGAAAUUCGGCACAGCUUGUACAGGAUAGG
RNAcentral lists this ribosomal RNA (506 nucleotides) under Staphylococcus aureus. RNAcentral's name for it is "partial 23S ribosomal RNA". It matches the Rfam family "Bacterial large subunit ribosomal RNA", at positions 1642 to 2147 of the family's 2925-position model. The record is from RNAcentral. Lineage: Bacteria; Bacillati; Bacillota; Bacilli; Caryophanales; Staphylococcaceae.